This 902-nucleotide ribosomal RNA is filed under the name Trichophyton rubrum. RNAcentral's name for it is "partial 18S ribosomal RNA". The stretch from base 692 to 887 matches the Rfam family "5.8S ribosomal RNA". Lineage: Eukaryota; Fungi; Ascomycota; Eurotiomycetes; Onygenales; Arthrodermataceae. The record is from RNAcentral.
CGCGCAUAUAUAUAAUUAAAUGGCUCAUCAGGGGUGCCGGAUAUAACGUGCGCCGGCCGUACGCCCGUAUAUGUCUAAAUCGCUGGUCGCUCCCCCCCCUCGGCUAUAUCUUGUAAUUGGAAUGAGUACAAUUUAAACCCCUUAACGAGGACGCCCCUCGGCCCUUUUGAAUAGAUAAGGGGUAUCACGGCGUGCACUGGUCCGGCUGGGCCUUAAUCGCGCUGUCGCUCGCUCGCUUCCAGCUCCAAUAGCGUAUAUUAAAGUUGUUGCAGUUAAAAAGCUCGUAGUUGAACCUUGGGCCUGGCUGGCCGGUCCGUUAUCGCUCGCCGUGGGCGGAACCAGGGGCUCUAGAUCCGAUGCUAAAGCCCUGAUCGUCCUGGAAUAAUAGAAUAGGAAAUCGCUCGUAAAGAUAGCUUCUCCUCUUGGGGAACCCCAUGGCCUUCACUGGCUUUUACUGUGAAAAAAUUAGAGUGUUCAAAGCAGGCCUUUGCUCGGAUACAUUAGCACGUGUGGUUCUAUUUUGUUGGUUUCUAGGACCGCCGUAGGUGAAAUUCUUGGAUUUGCCGAAGACUAAUCUUCCGGGGGCCUCGAGCCGGACCGCGCCCGCCGGAGGACAGACACCAAGAAAAAAUUCUCUGAAGAGCUGUCAGUCUGAAGAACGCAGCGAAAUUAGUCGGGGGCGUCAGUAUUCGGCUGUCAGACGGAUCUCUUGGUUCCGGCAUCGAUGGGGGAUAGAGCAUUGCAAUUAUUGCUCUUCAACGAGGAAUGCCUAGUAAGCGUGCGUUUAGCAAGCACAAUCAGUUAAAACUUUCAACAAGCGAUAAGUAAUGUGAAUUGCAGAAUUCCGUGAAUCAUCGAAUCUUUGUGAAUUGCAGAAUUCCGUGAAUCAUCGAAUCUUUGAC